This 397-nucleotide unclassified non-coding RNA is filed under the name Hevea brasiliensis (rubber tree). Lineage: Eukaryota; Viridiplantae; Streptophyta; Magnoliopsida; Malpighiales; Euphorbiaceae. The record is from RNAcentral.
AGGCUUUACUUCAAUGAAUGCUCUGCAAUAACCAGUGAGGUGAUGAAUGCAUUUAAGUAGCCAUUUCAAGAGAGGUAUCAACCAGGAGAAUAUAGCAUGACUUAUUUUGUAUCUCAACAUGAUAAUGAAACACGAUGUGUUUCCUGUAGCACGUAGAAGCACAUAAUGAAAGGAAAAGUGAAAGUCUAAGAUAAUUUUUAUUUUCUAUAAUAGUUCUCUCAUUAAGAAAUCUGAAAGAGACUAUGAAUUCAAAGGUCAAAUCAAGUAUUCAGGAAUGAAAAACACUAAAAUCACAUAACUGCUUAAAACAUAAUAAUAAUGUAUCCAUAAGUACAAAAAUAACAUGACUUAGACAAGGCGGAUAAAGAAUUACCUUUUCGGUAGAUCAGGCACAAGG